This 253-nucleotide ribosomal RNA is filed under the name uncultured bacterium. RNAcentral describes it as "partial 16S ribosomal RNA". It matches the Rfam family "Bacterial small subunit ribosomal RNA", at positions 524 to 776 of the family's 1533-position model. The record is from RNAcentral.
UACGUAGGGGGCAAGCGUUGUCCGGAUUUAUUGGGCGUAAAGCGCGUGUAGGCGGCCAGGUAGGUCCGCUGUGAAAACUCGAGGCUCAACCUCGAGACGUCGGCGGAAACCAUCUGGCUAGAGUCCGGAAGAGGAGAGUGGAAUUCCUGGUGUAGCGGUGAAAUGCGCAGAUAUCAGGAAGAAUAUCCGUGGCGAAGGCCGCUCUCUGGGACGGUACUGACGCUGAGACGCGAAAGCGUGGGGAGCGAACAGG